RNAcentral lists this ribosomal RNA (460 nucleotides) under uncultured bacterium. RNAcentral's name for it is "partial 16S ribosomal RNA". It matches the Rfam family "Bacterial small subunit ribosomal RNA", at positions 338 to 795 of the family's 1533-position model. The record is from RNAcentral.
CCUACGGGGGGCAGCAGUGAGGAAUAUUGGUCAAUGGGCUUACGCCUGAACCAGCCAAGUCGCGUGAGGGAAGACUGCCCUAUGGGUUGUAAACCUCUUUUGUCAGGGAGCAACGCCGGCUACGUGUAGCCGGACUGAGAGUACCUGAAGAAAAAGCAUCGGCUAACUCCGUGCCAGCAGCCGCGGUAAUACGGAGGAUGCGAGCGUUAUCCGGAUUGAUUGGGUUUAAAGGGUGCGUAGGCGGAAUGCCAAGUCAGCGGUAAAAUCGCGGGGCUCAACCUCGCUCCGCCGUUGAAACUGGCGUUCUUGAGUGGGCGAGAAGUAUGCGGAAUGCGUGGUGUAGCGGUGAAAUGCAUAGAUAUCACGCAGAACUCCGAUUGCGAAGGCAGCAUACCGGCGCCCAACUGACGCUGAAGCACGAAAGCGUGGGUAUCGAACAGGAUUAGAUACCCGUGUAGUC